GCUCCCCUCCCUUCAUCCACAUUUUUCCAUCCCUAAGGGACACACUUAAUCCCUCUUCAAGUUCCUGAUCCUUCCAGAGUCCACCUCCAUGCUCCUCUCCUAUUUGAUUAAUUUAUUCUUCUUCCUCUUCCAACUUCAAGGUGAUGCCAUGCAUCACUCAUGGUCUCCAGCUCUGUGCUUAAUCGUACUGUGUGCUCAAUAAAUACUGGCUGUAAUGAAUGAAACUCCUACCUGCAAAUGGAAGACUCAGCAGAAACCCUCCUUCAUUGCUCCACUUCCCAAUUAGCUCUUUGUUCUCAAAGUAUCUGAAACAUUUGGCCAUCAUUGGUUUUCUUAUAAAUGACACAUUAUAGAAUAACAGCUAAGUGCCUUGGCCAUGGUUACAAAUCCCAUCUCCAUCACUUCCUAGCUUUAUGGUUUUAUGCAAGUCACUUCACUUGUCUGAGCCUCCAUUUGUUGGUAAAAUGGUGAUAAUGAUGGUACCCACCUCAUGUGUUGCUUGCAAAUUAGAUUGGAUAAAGCAUACAAAGAACUUAGCACAGUAAAUACUCUAUAAGUGUUUGUGGCUUUGUUCACAAUUAUUGAGCAAUGACCACGUUUUAAGCUCUUUCAUUAUUGUUUUUUCUUUCGAGACAGGGUCUCACUCUGUCACCCAGGCUAUAGUACAAUGGUGCAAUCACAGCUCACUGAAGCCUCGAGCUCCCAGGCUCAAGCGAUCCUCCCUCCUCAGCCUCCUCAGUAGCAGAGACUGCAGAGCACCAGCCCCGUCAUCAGUGAGCGGCUCUGACGACACCGACCAGCACAGGCUGACUCUACUGAUUAUCUGUAACGUGACUGUCCCUCUUAAUCAAAGUGAUGUCAUCCUCUGAUUUCAGAAAGUGAAGGAUAGCAAAAUUAAUGUUGGCUCAAGCGGGCUUCUAAUGCCGCGGGCCGCCGAGGGUCUGCAGGGCUGCUGCAUUUCAAUGAUGUGCACUGGGAUUUCUUCGUGAACAAGGGUGCCCGAUAGAAAGCAAUCUCCCCCAUGUGGAGGAUGUCAAGAGCCCUUUAAAUGGUUCUUCCUUCUCUCUUCGGCUCUUCCUGCCUGGACUGAGGCACCCACACCCCCGCUGCUGUGAAUACUGCCCGUUAACAAGACAGCUGUUCCCUUCUCCGGAGACUUGCCCUGGAGAAAAGCACCACUCACCUGGAA
This is a non-coding RNA of Callithrix jacchus (white-tufted-ear marmoset), 1189 nucleotides long. The record is from RefSeq and is a predicted model, not a curated record. Lineage: Eukaryota; Metazoa; Chordata; Mammalia; Primates; Cebidae.